Molecule: ribosomal RNA, 300 nt
Filed under: uncultured Gaiellaceae bacterium
Lineage: Bacteria; Bacillati; Actinomycetota; Thermoleophilia; Gaiellales; Gaiellaceae
Description: bacterial SSU rRNA
Rfam family: Bacterial small subunit ribosomal RNA
Source: RNAcentral
CACGUGGGUAAUCAACCCCCGGCACCGGGAUAGCCCGAGGAAACUCGGAUUAAUACCGGACGGCCCAGCAGCCUUUCGGGGCGGCUGGAAAAGGUAGCUUCGGCCCCCGGCCGGGGACGAGCCCGCGGCGGAUUAGCUUGUUGGUGGGGUAACGGCCUACCAAGGCGACGAUCCGUAGCUGGUCUGAGAGGACGAUCAGCCACACUGGGACUGAGACACGGCCCAGACUCCUACGGGAGGCAGCAGUGGGGAAUCUUGCACAAUGGGCGAAAGCCUGAUGCAGCGACGCCGCGUGAGGGA